ACUAGUUCUAGUGCCCGUGCUGACGCACGAGAAACACCGUCUUUUAGUAAUUUCGUACACAAUUAUCAAUUUGCAAAUGCUAUAUAAAUUUGUGAUAAAUAAAAUGGCAAAAUAUUGUUUCUUAGUUUCACCCCACAAUUUAGAUAAAAUAUUUCUUGGUUACCAUUAAGAAUUACGGGAAGCAUAUAGUACAAAUUAUUAACUAAAUUCAAUCAAAUGGCAAAAUAUUGUGUUUUAAUUUCACCCCUCAAUUUAGAUGGCUUACUUGUUAGUUACUCUUAUCAUUUAACAGGAAGUAUGAAGUACAAAUUACUAUAUUCAAUCAAAUCAAAUAUUAACAAAGUCGAUACAUGCAUAAACAUAACCUUUCUGGGAUGCCUCCCGUGUUUUUUCUAGAUAUAAAACUUGAAACUUAAUUAUCAUAAAGUUACAUAACACCAUCCCUCUAUAAUAUUUAACAAAGUUGAUAUAUGCAUAAACAUAACUCUUCCAGGACGCCGCCCAUGUUUUUUCUAAAUAUAAAUUUGGAACUUAAUUAUACUAAAGUUACAUAAUAC
This 557-nucleotide long non-coding RNA is filed under the name Trifolium pratense (red clover). RNAcentral's name for it is "long non-coding RNA (TPRA_LNC014142)". The record is from RNAcentral. Lineage: Eukaryota; Viridiplantae; Streptophyta; Magnoliopsida; Fabales; Fabaceae.